AGGACGAACGCUGGCGGCGUGCUUAACACAUGCAAGUCGAGCGGUGAUCCUCCUUCGGGAGGUGAUCAGCGGCGAACGGGUGAGUAACACGUGGGCAACCUGCCCCUCACACUGGGAUAACCUCGGGAAACCGGGGCUAAUACCGGAUACGACCUCGAGCGGCAUCUCUUGAGGUGGAAAGCUCCGACGGUGAGGGAUGGGCCCGCGGCCUAUCAGCUUGUUGGUGGGGUAAUGGCCUACCAAGGCGACGACGGGGUA
Molecule: ribosomal RNA, 258 nt
Filed under: uncultured bacterium
Lineage: Bacteria
Description: partial small subunit ribosomal RNA
Rfam family: Bacterial small subunit ribosomal RNA
Source: RNAcentral